This is a non-coding RNA of Potamilus streckersoni, 75 nucleotides long. The record is from the annotation of a GenBank genome assembly. NCBI's taxonomy places the organism in Eukaryota, Metazoa, Mollusca, Bivalvia, Unionida, Unionidae.
UGAUCCUGUGGCCUAGUGGUUAGAGUGUUAGCCUCUGAUGCGGGAUGUCACGGGUUUGAACCCUGGCCAGGUCAU